Molecule: ribosomal RNA, 557 nt
Filed under: uncultured bacterium
Lineage: Bacteria
Description: bacterial SSU rRNA
Rfam family: Bacterial small subunit ribosomal RNA
Source: RNAcentral
ACGGGUGAGUAACGCGUGGGAAUCUACCCAUCUCUACGGAAUAACGCAUGGAAACGUGUGCUAAUACCGUAUACGUCCUUCGGGAGAAAGAUUUAUCGGAGAUGGAUGAGCCCGCGUUGGAUUAGCUAGUUGGUGGGGUAAAGGCCUACCAAGGCGACGAUCCAUAGCUGGUCUGAGAGGAUGAUCAGCCACACUGGGACUGAGACACGGCCCAGACUCCUACGGGAGGCAGCAGUGGGGAAUAUUGGACAAUGGGCGCAAGCCGGAUCCAGCCAUGCCGCGUGAGUGAUGAAGGCCCUAGGGUUGUAAAGCUCUUUCACCGGUGAAGAUAAUGACGGUAACCGGAGAAGAAGCCCCGGCUAACUUCGUGCCAGCAGCCGCGGUAAUACGAAGGGGGCUAGCGUUGUUCGGAUUUACUGGGCGUAAAGCGCACGUAGGCGGACUAUUAAGUCAGGGGUGAAAUCCCGGGGCUCAACCCCGGAACUGCCUUUGAUACUGGUAGUCUUGAGUUCGAGAGGGGUGAGUGGAAUUCCGAGUGUAGAGGUGAAAUUCGUAGA